AGCCACAUCACAUUAAAACACCAGUUCCCUUACAAUCACCAAAGUUAAACAACAUUGAGCCUGGACAGUACUUAGAUGGGUGACCACUUGGGAAUAUCAGC
Non-coding RNA from Acanthosepion pharaonis, 101 nucleotides. NCBI's taxonomy places the organism in Eukaryota, Metazoa, Mollusca, Cephalopoda, Sepiida, Sepiidae. The record is from the annotation of a GenBank genome assembly.